GGCACUAUGGCGGAGUGGUUAUCGCGUGGCACUCGAAAUGCUAUUCCCCUUGGGAGCACAGGUUCGAUUCCUGUUGGUGUCG
Molecule: transfer RNA, 82 nt
Filed under: Sporisorium scitamineum
Lineage: Eukaryota; Fungi; Basidiomycota; Ustilaginomycetes; Ustilaginales; Ustilaginaceae
Description: tRNA-Ser (CGA) (tRNA-Ser-CGA-2-1)
Rfam family: tRNA
About the family: Transfer RNA (tRNA) molecules are approximately 80 nucleotides in length. Their secondary structure includes four short double-helical elements and three loops (D, anti-codon, and T loops). Further hydrogen bonds mediate the characteristic L-shaped molecular structure. tRNAs have two regions of fundamental functional importance: the anti-codon, which is responsible for specific mRNA codon recognition, and the 3' end, to which the tRNAs corresponding amino acid is attached (by aminoacyl-tRNA synthetases). tRNAs cope with the degeneracy of the genetic code in two manners: having more than one tRNA (with a specific anti-codon) for a particular amino acid; and 'wobble' base-pairing, i.e. permitting non-standard base-pairing at the 3rd anti-codon position.
Source: RNAcentral